GCUUGAGUGGCGUCUCCCGGCGGUACUUGAGGGGCACCACCUGUUGGCCUCGCUUCUGCAGACCCCGCACCACGUCCUCAUACUUGUCCAGCACCUUCUCCUGGUCCUGGAGAAAGUGGGGUAGGGGACCCGGGGGAGAAUGUGGCCCUGUCACAGCCAGGAAACCACUAGAAGCACCUGGGCUUCUGUCUGAGGCUUCAAGCUCAUCCCUCAGAUGGGACGCUGUGCUGAACCUGAGGCUCCCUUCAUGGAGACAGCCCCACCCUCCCCGAGCCAGCUCCUUGGGGAGAAGCCGGGUCCUUUCCCACCCAUCCACGAGAUGACACCUCUGUGAUAUGCUUCCUUUCAUAUACAAACAAGCAUCCAGCCACAGAUGAGUGGAUACACACUGGUCUGUCCGUACAAUGGGAUAUGAUUCAGCCAUGAAAAGGAGCGAAGCACUCAAAAUGCUACGACACGGAUAAGCCCAGCAAACAUGAUGCUCAGUGACACAAAAGAGCGGAGACUGCAUGAUUCUGCUUAUCCUCCACAUUCACUCCAGAUGUGAAACAUCUGGAAUAGGCAGGUCCACAGAGACAGCAAGCAGAACAGAGGUGACCAGGGCUGGGGAGCAGGAAUGGAGACUUACUGCCUAAUGGGUACAGGUUUUUUUUUUUUUGAGCUGGAGUCUCUCUCUGUCACCCAGGCUGCAGUGCAGUGGCAGGAUUUUGGUUCACUGCAACCUCUGCCUCCCAGGUUUAAGCGAUUAUCCUGCCUCAGCCUCCCAAGUAGAUGGGAUUUCAGGUAUGCGCCACCAUGCCUGGCUAACUUUUAUAUUUUUAGUAGAGAUGGCAUUUCAUCAUAUUGGCUAGGCUGGUCUUGAACUCCUGACCUCUGGUGAUCCAUCUGCCUCGACCUCCCAAAGUGCUGGGAUUACAGGCGUGAGCCACCACGCCCGGCCAGGGUUUCUGUUUGGGGUGGUGGAAAGAGUUGGAUAGCUAGUGGUAAUGGUUGCAUUGUGAAACAAUGAAUGCCACUGAAUUGUACACUUAAAAAUGGCAAAUUGGCCGGGCACAGUGGCUCCUGCCUGUAAUCCCAGCACUUUGGGAGGCUGAGAGGGGAGGAUCACCUGAGGUCAGGCGUUUGAGACCAAUCUGACCAACAUGGUGAAACCCCAUCUCUACUAAAAAUAUAAAAAUUAGGCCGGGCACGGUGGCUCAAGCCUGUAAUCACAGCACUUUGGGAGGCCGAGGCGGGUGGAUCAUGAGGUCAAGAUAUCGAGACCAUCCUGGUCAACAUGGUGAAACCCCAUCUCUACUAAAGAUGCAGGAAAUUAGCUGGGCAUGGUGGCGCGUGCCUGUCAUCACAGCUACUCAGGAGGCUGAGGCAGGAGAAUUGCCUGAACCCAGAAGGCGGAGG
Non-coding RNA from Callithrix jacchus (white-tufted-ear marmoset), 1398 nucleotides. Lineage: Eukaryota; Metazoa; Chordata; Mammalia; Primates; Cebidae. The record is from RefSeq and is a predicted model, not a curated record.